RNAcentral lists this ribosomal RNA (217 nucleotides) under Dominikia sp. RNAcentral describes it as "partial small subunit ribosomal RNA". The stretch from base 48 to 217 matches the Rfam family "Eukaryotic small subunit ribosomal RNA", at positions 693 to 864 of the family's 1831-position model. The record is from RNAcentral. Lineage: Eukaryota; Fungi; Glomeromycota; Glomeromycetes; Glomerales; Glomeraceae.
GGAUCAAUAAUGCUGGUCGUGCCAUUGGUACGUACUAGUAUUGUUGGUUUCUUCCUUCUGAUGAAUCAUGAUGUCAUUAAUUUGAUGUCAUGGGGAAUCAGGACUGUUACUUUGAAAAAAUUAGAGUGUUUAAAGCAGGCUCGCGCUUGAAUACAUUAGCAUGGAAUAAUGAAAUAGGACGUUUGAUUCUAUUUUGUUGGUUUCUAGGAUUGACGUA